Molecule: long non-coding RNA, 422 nt
Filed under: Equus asinus (donkey)
Lineage: Eukaryota; Metazoa; Chordata; Mammalia; Perissodactyla; Equidae
Description: lncRNA (ENSEASG00005038384.1)
Source: RNAcentral
GGAAAACGUGUGUAAAAAGGCCAUGUUCUAAUGUCUCCACUGUGCGACCCAGGGACGUAGAUGCCAGUUUAUGGUCUGCUCUCGGGAACCACCAGCGAACCUUAAGCAUCUGACUCCUCAGCUCAGAGCCUUACACCCGUAGUUACUGAUGUUGAUUGGAAGUAUGAGUUAUCUGCUCCCAGCCUUCUUCAGAGCUGUUGUGAAAGUGAACGAUGUAUGUGUCUGUCUGCAGAAAGCUUUCCAGAAUUAAACAUCUCACUGUUCCUUGAGAAAAGCAGCCCCCAACCUACUGCCCAAACUGCUGUUCCCAUCAGUGUUCUAAGUCAGACAAGACAGAAGCCAGUCCCUUGAGCAGCCCCCCAAGAGAAUGUUGGAUGCACAGCUCACUCUUUUUCCUGCUUGAGGGAGAAGCUGGAGUUGGG